AUUUGGGUGUUGCCUCCCUUGCCGGGACUGCAGGUGGCGUGGCAGAGUAGGAAGCAUGGUGGACGGAGAGAGGGGUUGACAAAGUACAUUUCAGGGUAUGGAAUUAGCCAGUUUAACUGGAGCUGAGGUAUAUGCAGAGGUUACAACUCCCACCCAUCAACAUUUCACUGGGGCACGCCAGCAAUGCUCAAUAAAUACAAGGCAGAAAAAAACACUACGUGCAACUCUCCCAAGACAUCGGGGGUGAGCUUCCCUUCUCCUGGAGAAACUACCCAUCACAGGGAACAGCAGACUGACCUGUCCCACUUUAGAAAACCAGACGAAAAUCGCUGUUCCCUGUUGGAUCGAGAGGGAUGGGCCGGGGGACGAUGAGAAGGGUCCCUGGGUCGGCUGUGAUGUUGGCCAGUGCAUAUACUGGGUACAUUACAGAUAUACUGGCCAUUAUGUGAAGGACAAGGACCUAAAAAAAAUAAAAUCAAUUCCCUUCUAUUGUCCUCGGCAUAUUCCAUAAAAAUAUUUUAUACAAUGUACUUGUUUGUUGUUAAAUUCAUUGUGGCUUUGGGGUAGGGGUGAUGGGGACAGACACGGGCGAUUACACGUUUAGUAAAUGUCUCAU
Long non-coding RNA from Haliotis rufescens (red abalone), 616 nucleotides. RefSeq lists it as uncharacterized. NCBI's taxonomy places the organism in Eukaryota, Metazoa, Mollusca, Gastropoda, Lepetellida, Haliotidae. The record is from RefSeq and is a predicted model, not a curated record. The transcript is spliced from 3 exons.